Molecule: long non-coding RNA, 227 nt
Organism: Sphaerodactylus townsendi
Lineage: Eukaryota; Metazoa; Chordata; Lepidosauria; Squamata; Sphaerodactylidae
Exons: 2
Source: RefSeq, a predicted model, not a curated record
AUCUAUCACUGGGACUUCUUUCUGCAGCUGCCUGUGCCCCUUCUUCUUAGUCCAGGAUCGAUGCUGGGACAAAGGAGACAGCUUCCAGUAGUAUGCAAAAGAGGAAACCGCCCAGCCUACAGUCUCCUGAGUGCCCUUAAGAAACUUACAUGAUUUUUAAACUAUAAAAACCUACCCAACAUAGAUCUACUUAACUAAAUAAAAGACAUAUACCUUUAAUCAUAAAA